GUCUUUGUAGCGCAAUGGAUAGCACGUUGGACUUCUAAUCCAAAGGUCGUGGGUUCGAAUUCUACCUGGGAUG
Molecule: transfer RNA, 73 nt
Filed under: Trichonephila clavata
Lineage: Eukaryota; Metazoa; Arthropoda; Arachnida; Araneae; Nephilidae
Rfam family: tRNA
About the family: Transfer RNA (tRNA) molecules are approximately 80 nucleotides in length. Their secondary structure includes four short double-helical elements and three loops (D, anti-codon, and T loops).
Source: Rfam by way of RNAcentral